CAGUCGCCGCGGGAACACGUAGGGUGCAAGCGUUAAUCGGAAUUACUGGGCGUAAAGCGUGCGCAGGCGGUUAUAUAAGUCAGAUGUGAAAUCCCCGGGCUCAACCUGGGAACUGCAUUUGAGACUGUAUGGCUAGAGUGUGUCAGAGGGGGGUAGAAUUCCACGUGUAGCAGUGAAAUGCGUAGAUAUGUGGAGGAAUACCGAUGGCGAAGGCAGCCCCCUGGGAUAACACUGACGCUCGUGCACGAAAGCGUGGGGAGCAAACAGGAUUAGAUACCCGUGUAGUCCCUGUCUCUUAUAC
Molecule: ribosomal RNA, 301 nt
Filed under: uncultured bacterium
Lineage: Bacteria
Description: partial 16S ribosomal RNA
Rfam family: Bacterial small subunit ribosomal RNA
Source: RNAcentral